RNAcentral lists this long non-coding RNA (908 nucleotides) under Sus scrofa (pig). RNAcentral describes it as "lncRNA (ENSSSCG00025053456.1)". Lineage: Eukaryota; Metazoa; Chordata; Mammalia; Artiodactyla; Suidae. The record is from RNAcentral.
UAUAUACUCUCCCUUCUUUUAUGCAUCUAAUUAUAUGGCCUCUCCUUUAUGUGACCCGCUCAUUACACUUUUCCUUUCACCCAUCUCAUUUCAGCCCUGAAGGAUGCCCAUCUUACAGAACACGUCCUGAGACAGCUCAUUAAACCACCCCACGUAUUCACUUCAUUACAGCUUUUUAACAUAUACAUCUUAUUACAUGGAACUCUUCAUGAAUCUCAUUAAAAUCUCAGAAGAGCUAGCUCACUCUUGAAAACAUGUGGUCAUUCUGCCUCUCAGGAGCAACUGUAUAAGAUGUUUGUCCGACAUGGAGAGGUAAAUGGAAAGGAGAUGCUGGAGGAGGAAGAAGAAAAGGGAAAAGAAGAGAUAGAGGUACAAGGGAAAGGAGAAACUUUGGCCUUCUUCAUCAUAAGGAGCCAGGUGUGCUGGACUUGCAGGAACCAACUACAGCAUGGACUUCCUCUCACCUACAUGAGUUCUCCUGUGCUCCCCAGAUUGGAUUGUUUGUGCCAUAUUAGCUUUGUCUCAGCAAAUCAAGGUUCUGAAAUGUAGCUUCUUCCAAUUAAAAAAAAAAAAUUAAGGGAAUGAUUUUCCAGUGUUUUGUGAUGUUUUCAAGGGAAGUUGGAUUUAUGCAUUGAAAAAACAAACAAACAAACAAACAAACAAACAAAAACCCAUUAUUUUGCUUCUUCUGAAAGACCUUCCCUUGAUUUACCUGCCAGCUUGGGGCAUGCUCACAUUGUAAAGACUUUCGAAUGAUAAACAUAAAUUGCUCUAACAAAACUUUACACUAAAUCACUUUCUCAGCUGGCAAGUGUUACAGAGCAAAAUACUAAAUUUCAAAUCUGCUAUUGUUUAACUAUUCUGGAUCUUCCAAGGCCAGUGUUGAUGGGUAGUGUCCUGACUGAAAC